RNAcentral lists this ribosomal RNA (440 nucleotides) under uncultured bacterium. RNAcentral describes it as "partial 16S ribosomal RNA". It matches the Rfam family "Bacterial small subunit ribosomal RNA", at positions 338 to 795 of the family's 1533-position model. The record is from RNAcentral.
CCUACGGGAGGCAGCAGUGGGGAAUAUUCCACAAUGGGGGAAACUCUGAUGCAGCGACGCCGCGUGAGUGAAGAAGUUUUUCGGUAUGUAAAGCUCUAUCAGCAGGGAAGAAAAUGUCGGUACCUGACUAAUUCACCCUGGGUCACUACGUGCCAGCAGACGCGGUUCUACGUAGGGGGCAAGCGUUACCCGGAUUUAAUGGGUGUAAAGGGAGCGGAGAUGGCGAGGAAAGUCAGCAGUGAAAGCCCAGGGGUCAACCCUGGGUUUGCUUUGGAAACUGCCGGGCUGGAGUGCAGGAGGGGUAAGCGGAAUUCCUAGUGUAGCGGUGAAAUGCGUAGAUAUUAGGAGGAACACCAGUGGCGAAGGCGGCUUACUGGACUGUAACUGACGCUGAGGCUCGAAAGCGUGGGGAGCAAACAGGAUUAGAUACCCCUGUAGUC